UUUUAAAUGUAGGUUGGUUUUAGAGGAUAAUAUCGUUAUGAACUUGUAUCCGGUGUUUACUUUUUCGGAAAAUCGAAAGAUUUGCCCCCACGCUUAUGUUCUUUCAGAAAAGAUAUCCAUGGAACAAAUCAUCUGAAAAAUAAGAGAGGAUGAAAAAUACUUCUGUUAAAAAGUUGAAGUAACUGAUGAGCAGAUCAAUCCAACUUGAACAUGAUAUCAUUUCUCCAAGGAUGAAAACAAGUCUCUCUGUACUCAAGCAUUGAUAUUUUUAAAGUCGACUGAAACUGGAACAGGUCAUACAUGCAGACUACAGUGAUGUGUUGCACAGUUCCGAAAACAUGCAGCCACCACUAGCAUAAGCAUGAUAAGUGUAAGUGGGUCAUCAAAAAAUGAGAACUACUCAAGGACUUUUCUGUUGGUUGAUGAUGGACUACAAACUGAAUUUUAAACAAAGGAAUCCACCUUGGUGCUUAUUGGCUACUUUUGAUGUGAACUUGUGCAUUUAUUAUACCAAGUAAUUUUACAUUUCCUUGAUUAUACUAGACUUGCAUAAACCGAAUUCAGGUUUAGUUGAUUUAUUGAAGUAAUGCAGUUCUAAGUUCCUCUCGCAAGAUUAUAUCUCUGAUGUAUGAGACAUCAUUAAUUGCAGAUUUUCUCUGUCCCCCUGUCGUGACUUGAGGGCUCGGACUUAGCUGUAAAAAUGUUUAUGAUGCAAGAGAAAAUAAAUGUU
Molecule: long non-coding RNA, 730 nt
Organism: Saccostrea cuccullata (small rock oyster)
Lineage: Eukaryota; Metazoa; Mollusca; Bivalvia; Ostreida; Ostreidae
Exons: 3
Source: RefSeq, a predicted model, not a curated record